This 253-nucleotide ribosomal RNA is filed under the name uncultured bacterium. Its description in RNAcentral is "partial 16S ribosomal RNA". It matches the Rfam family "Bacterial small subunit ribosomal RNA", at positions 524 to 776 of the family's 1533-position model. The record is from RNAcentral.
UACGUAGGGUGCAAGCGUUGUCCGGAAUUAUUGGGCGUAAAGAGCUCGUAGGCGGUUCGUCGCGUCGGCUGUGAAAACCCGGAGCUCAACUCCGGGCCUGCAGUCGAUACGGGCGGACUUGAGUGUUGCAGGGGAGACUGGAAUCCCUGGUGUAGCGGUGAAAUGCGCAGAUAUCAGGAGGAACACCGGUGGCGAAGGCGGGUCUCUGGGCAACUACUGACGCUGAGGAGCGAAAGCGUGGGGAGCGAACAGG